AGUGAACGCUGGCGGUAGGCCUAACACAUGCAAGUCGAACGGCAGCACAGUAAGAGCUUGCUCUUACGGGUGGCGAGUGGCGGACGGGUGAUGAAUACAUCUGAAUCUACUUUUUCGUGGGGGAUAACGUAGGGAAACUUACGCUAAUACCGCAUACGACCUACGGGUGAAAGCAUGGGAUCUUCGGACCUUGCGCGAUUGAAUGACCCGAUGUCGGAUUAGCUAGUUGGCGGGGUAAAGGCCCACCAAGGCGACGAUCCGUAGCUGGUCUGAGAGGAUGAUCAGCCACACUGGAACUGAGACACGGUCCAGACUCCUACGGGAGGCAGCAGUGGGGAAUAUUGGACAAUGGGCGCAAGCCUGAUCCAGCCAUACCGCGUGGGUGAAGAAGGCCUUCGGGUUGUAAAGCCCUUUUGUUGGGAAGGAAAAGCAGCAGGUUAAUACCCCGCUGUUCUGACGGUACCAAAAGAAUAAGCACCGGCUAACUUCGUG
This 492-nucleotide ribosomal RNA is filed under the name uncultured bacterium. RNAcentral's name for it is "partial 16S ribosomal RNA". It matches the Rfam family "Bacterial small subunit ribosomal RNA", at positions 29 to 507 of the family's 1533-position model. The record is from RNAcentral.